This 152-nucleotide ribosomal RNA is filed under the name Diaphorina citri (Asian citrus psyllid). Lineage: Eukaryota; Metazoa; Arthropoda; Insecta; Hemiptera; Psyllidae. The record is from RNAcentral.
GCCUGCGGCGAAAGCACGUUGAAUGCACCAGUUUCACAUAACAUGAGCCACUGAACAUACCAUCUCAUGUUACCUCUGAGCACAGGAAUGAAGCAACGUUGCGCGUGGUCAGUAUGUGGAUGGGUGACCAUCUGGACAAUCGCGUGUUGGCU